Molecule: ribosomal RNA, 640 nt
Filed under: uncultured bacterium
Lineage: Bacteria
Description: bacterial SSU rRNA
Rfam family: Bacterial small subunit ribosomal RNA
Source: RNAcentral
AGAGUUUGAUCCUGGCUCAGAACGAACGCUGGCGGCAUGCCUAACACAUGCAAGUCGAACGAGACCUUCGGGUCUAGUGGCGCACGGGUGCGUAACGCGUGGGAACCUGCCUUUAGGUUCGGAAUAACUCAGAGAAAUUUGAGCUAAUACCGGAUAAUGUCUUCGGACCAAAGAUUUAUCGCCUUUAGAUGGGCCCGCGUUGGAUUAGCUAGUUGGUGGGGUAAAGGCCUACCAAGGCGACGAUCCAUAGCUGGUCUGAGAGGAUGAUCAGCCACACUGGGACUGAGACACGGCCCAGACUCCUACGGGAGGCAGCAGUGGGGAAUAUUGGACAAUGGGCGAAAGCCUGAUCCAGCAAUGCCGCGUGAGUGAUGAAGGCCUUAGGGUUGUAAAGCUCUUUUACCCGAGAUGAUAAUGACAGUAUCGGGAGAAUAAGCUCGGGCUAACUCCGUGCCAGCAGCCGCGGUAAUACGGAGGGAGCUAGCGUUGUUCGGAAUUACUGGGCGUAAAGCGCACGUAGGCGGCUUUUUAAGUCAGGGGUGAAAUCCCGGGGCUCAACCCCGGAACUGCCCUUGAAACUGGGAAGCUAGAAUCUUGGAGAGGCGAGUGGAAUUCCGAGUGUAGCGGUGAAAUGCGUAGA